UGCAAGUCGAGCGGUAAGGCCUUUCGGGGUACACGAGCGGCGAACGGGUGAGUAACACGUGGGUGAUCUGCCCUGCACUUCGGGAUAAGCCUGGGAAACUGGGUCUAAUACCGGAUAUGACCUCCUAUCGCAUGGUGGGUGGUGGAAAGAUUUAUCGGUGCAGGAUGGGCCCGCGGCCUAUCAGCUUGUUGGUGGGGUAAUGGCCUACCAAGGCGACGACGGGUAGCCGACCUGAGAGGGUGACCGGCCACACUGGGACUGAGACACGGCCCAGACUCCUACGGGAGGCAGCAGUGGGGAAUAUUGCACAAUGGGCGAAAGCCUGAUGCAGCGACGCCGCGUGAGGGAUGACGGCCUUCGGGUUGUAAACCUCUUUCAGCAGGGACGAAGCGCAAGUGACGGUACCUGCAGAAGAAGCACCGGCUAACUACGUGCCAGCAGCCGCGGUAAUACGUAGGGUGCAAGCGUUGUCCGGAAUUACUGGGCGUAAAGAGUUCGUAGGCGGUUUGUCGCGUCGUUUGUGAAAACCAGCAGCUCAACUGCUGGCUUGCAGGCGAUACGGGCAGACUUGAGUACUGCAGGGGAGACUGGAAUUCCUGGUGUAGCGGUGAAAUGCGCAGAUAUCAGGAGGAACACCGGUGGCGAAGGCGGGUCUCUGGGCAGUAACUGACGCUGAGGAACGAAAGCGUGGGUAGCGAACAGGAUUAGAUACCCUGGUAGUCCACGCCGUAAACGGUGGGCGCUAGGUGUGGGUGUCCUUCCCCGGAAUCCGUGCCGUACCUAAAGCAUUAGGCGCACCCGCCUGGGGGAGGACGGCCAUCGAGGCCUCA
This 830-nucleotide ribosomal RNA is filed under the name Rhodococcus erythropolis. Its description in RNAcentral is "bacterial SSU rRNA". It matches the Rfam family "Bacterial small subunit ribosomal RNA", at positions 56 to 898 of the family's 1533-position model. Lineage: Bacteria; Bacillati; Actinomycetota; Actinomycetes; Mycobacteriales; Nocardiaceae. The record is from RNAcentral.